This 69-nucleotide transfer RNA is filed under the name Ictidomys tridecemlineatus (thirteen-lined ground squirrel). Its description in RNAcentral is "Spermophilus tridecemlineatus (thirteen-lined ground squirrel) tRNA". It matches the Rfam family "tRNA". Rfam says of the family: Transfer RNA (tRNA) molecules are approximately 80 nucleotides in length. Their secondary structure includes four short double-helical elements and three loops (D, anti-codon, and T loops). Further hydrogen bonds mediate the characteristic L-shaped molecular structure. tRNAs have two regions of fundamental functional importance: the anti-codon, which is responsible for specific mRNA codon recognition, and the 3' end, to which the tRNAs corresponding amino acid is attached (by aminoacyl-tRNA synthetases). tRNAs cope with the degeneracy of the genetic code in two manners: having more than one tRNA (with a specific anti-codon) for a particular amino acid; and 'wobble' base-pairing, i.e. permitting non-standard base-pairing at the 3rd anti-codon position. Lineage: Eukaryota; Metazoa; Chordata; Mammalia; Rodentia; Sciuridae. The record is from Rfam by way of RNAcentral.
GGGGCUGUAGCUUAGUGGCAAAGCACUUGCCUAACAUUCGUAAGGCACUCGGUUUGAUCCUCAGCCCCA